AUUUCAAAUGUGAUAUCGAUGGACCUUUACAUCGCUUUCCCAAAUGGGAAUAUCCUCAUACAGAGAAGUUUGACCAAUAGAAAUCUGUACUUGACAAUACAAUUCAAGAAAAAGGAAACAAUUAUAUUUACAAUUCCAUUCGUAUAUGCCACAAACAUUUUGAGGAGUACUUCAAAUCAUCAAGCAGACGAUUGACGAGGAAUACUGUCCCUAUAUUGAACAUAAUUGGUGCCUGGGAUUAAAUCGAUUAUUAAAUGGAAAAUGUUCAAAUUUUGAUAGGAAU
Molecule: unclassified non-coding RNA, 283 nt
Filed under: Melitaea cinxia (Glanville fritillary)
Lineage: Eukaryota; Metazoa; Arthropoda; Insecta; Lepidoptera; Nymphalidae
Description: misc RNA ENSMCXG00005017244.1
Source: RNAcentral